AUAUAUCAGUUAGUAAUGAAUGCUGAACAAAAAAUUACAAAGUUAAUCUGUUAAAUUUUGAUAGAAGAAAAUGUAUAAAUACAAAAGAUGUAACAUUUGAUCGAUCAUUGAUUUAUUUAAGGUAAAUAUUUUAUGUGUUUAUAAAAUUAAAGAUUUUGCUUAAGUUAUUCUAAUAUGAAACAGAUAUGUUUUAUAUAAUUUAACCUAAUUUUUGCGGUAUACCAAAUAUAUCAAGCCAUAUGUAUCAAAGAUAAAUAGAAGAGAUCGUAGAUCUAAACUUACGUUCGUACUUUUCUAUCUAAUAUUAAUAUACGACUACCUAGGAAUAUGUACAGAAUCGAAGAAAAUUAAGGAAUAAAAUACCUAUUUGCGAUUAUUGGUAUGAGCCUACAUGACGAUCGAUAACGAUUAACUUUCCAAUUUUCAUAGUUGAGUUUGCGAUGUGAUAUACGAAAUUUGUUUAAUUUCUAUAGUAUUUCAUCAUAUUAUAUAACAACAAUAAAAUUUCUUGUCUAUAAAAAAAUGAAAAGACAUCCCAAUGUAAA
RNAcentral lists this unclassified non-coding RNA (545 nucleotides) under Bombus terrestris (buff-tailed bumblebee). RNAcentral describes it as "misc RNA ENSBTSG00005026780.1". Lineage: Eukaryota; Metazoa; Arthropoda; Insecta; Hymenoptera; Apidae. The record is from RNAcentral.